UGAGGAAUAUUGGUCAAUGGGCGCAAGCCUGAACCAGCCAUCCCGCGUGCAGGAUGACGUCCCUCUGGGUUGUAAACUGCUUUUGUACAGGAAGAAAAAUCCCUACUUGUAGGGACCUGCCGGUACUGUACGAAUAAGCAUCGGCUCACUCCGUGCCAGCAGCCGCGGUCAUACGGCGGAUGCAAGCGUUAUCCGGAUUCAUUGGGUUUAAAGGGUGCGUAGGCGGCUUUUUAAGUCAGUGGUGAAAGCCGGGCGCUCAACGAUAGAAUUGCCAUGGAUACUGAGAAGCUUGAGUGCAGGUGAGGUAAGCGGAAUGUGUAGUGUAGCGGUGAAAUGCUUAGAUAUUACACAGAACACCGGUUGCGAAGGCAGCUUACUAAACUGACACUGUCGCUGAUGCACGAAAGCGUGGGGAUCGAACA
RNAcentral lists this ribosomal RNA (422 nucleotides) under uncultured bacterium. RNAcentral describes it as "bacterial SSU rRNA". It matches the Rfam family "Bacterial small subunit ribosomal RNA", at positions 355 to 774 of the family's 1533-position model. The record is from RNAcentral.